GAUUUAACAUUUUGGGAGGUCCGUCGGCGGCGGUAGAAGCGAUUGGUUGGGGCCUUUGCCGUUUUCCACCAAGAACGCCAUCUUCAAUCCCCACGUCGUAUGAAUUUCCAAAUGGCAAUGCAUAAACCACACUCCUGAAAGGUGAAAUCAUAAUUUAGAAAUUUCAUUUCAUUUUAAUGGUUUAAGAAUUUGAUCAAAUAAUCUCAAGAGGGAAUUCAAUCUCUUUUUACCUGGAUUGUCUGCACGAAAUCUUAUCGCUGUCCAUCCACCGGACGGAACUCCGAUUGUGUUCCUCUCUACUGGAUCCACGAGAUUGAAUUUCGUGGGGUCGGUUUUAGGGUUGAAAUUGCCGAUCCCUCGUCCGACUUCGAAGAAAUUGAACCCAUGGAGAUGGAUGGGGUGAUUUUCUGGGGCUAUGAUUCCUGUAUCUUGUAGAACUAGUUCCACUGUGGAGUUGUAUUGUAAUUUGUAGAGUUUGGUUGCACUUAUAGUCUGCAAAUUUUUAGGUCCAGGUCCUGAAUAGUUGAAUUUGUGAGGGGGGUUUCCUGGGAAAUCUGUGGUGAAAACGCCUUUAGUUUUGAAGAAAUGUGCUUGUAGGAGAGCGGUGGUGGGCAUUACAAAAGUUACGUUGUUGAUACUGGCUACUACUCUGCUUCCAUUGGCGGCCUUGCAAGUGGGACAUGGGUUAAUUCCUAGCCCAACGGUGAAGAAGAGAUGGUGGUCGAUUGUCAAUGGGACAUUGGCUGGGUACUUUUUGGAGUUCAAGCUUCUGAGGGAGUUUGUGAAGGCGUUGGCAAUUUGGGUUGCGUUCUGGGGUGGGGGGUUGGUGCUUGUUGUGAGGGAUGUGGCCAAUGUGCCAGUGUAGUGCACAGUGGCAGUUGCUGUCUUGUUAUCGACUGCCACUGGAGCGUCCAUGAAAGGAGAGACGGCCACCAUGUAUUUUCCAGAGUUUUGGUUGGCGGUUAAGAGGACGUUGGUGGUCUGGCCAGGAGCAAUUAGAACUGUGUCUGUUUUGAAUGGUUUAACAUACGUGGCGUCGACCUCUACAACUGUUAACUUGUGGCCUGCGACUUUGAAAAACAGUUCUUCAUUCAGUGCAGCGUUGAUUAUGCGUAGUAAAUAGGUUUUCCCUUUUUGAACCGGCAAUGUGAAGCCCCCUAAUUUCCAAAAAAAAAAAAAAAAAAAAAAAAGAAAAUUAGACGACCCAUUGGAACAGAAUAAAGUUUGUAUUGCUUCCCAAAAGGUUAGAUUUCUUAAUUCAAUUACUUUGUGAAGGGCAAUUUGAUAUGGAUCCGGGAAGGCCGUUGAUGGUGUGAGCAUCAGAGACAUUUGGAGCUAAUCCUGACUUAAGUGCUUCGUUGAUCACUGCUUCAGUGUCUGAUUUCCACCACUCGGCUGUACAAUGCAAAUCACCAUUUAUUCACAAAGCAAGUUAAAAUCAUCACCACUUUGAAGGCGGGAAAGAAUAAUUAGUGAACUUUUGAGGCUCAUACCAAGCACAAGAACAGUUUCUUUGUUGGGUGUAGGGAAUGGAUAAGGCACACCGAGCUUCGGCAAGAUGACGAGACCACCGUGGACAGUGGCUCUCAGCCAAAGAAUGUGAGCAUGCCAGAAGAGUGUGCCUCUUUGACCAGUGAUGGUGAAGUUGUACACAUAGCUCUGCCCCGGCUGGAUAGGACAUUGUGUAAUGUAUGCCGGACCAUCAGCCCAGCCUGUUCGGAGUUGCCUGAUUCCAUGCCUACCACCACGUCAUGCACUCAUUAGAUUGUGAGUUUUGAAACACUUUAAAGUUCAAAAGAAUUUGAUUGUGUGCGUAUUUACCAGUGAAUGGAAAGAUUAUAUUUGACAUGGUUGACAACUUUGAUAAGCACAUUGUCGCCCUCCCUAGCGUAAACAGUUGGACCGGGGAACUGACCAUUGACGGUGACAAUGGGCUUGCUUGAGCAAAGUCUGGUUGCUUUUCUCAACACCACCUGCCAACGAAUAUAGAUCAAUAUCACUCAUUAAAAUCAAACCAAACCAAUAAUGGAUUCGGUGGUCCAAGCCAUGAAAGUAAUAGGUCAUUCAAAAGCUCUCUUUCUAAAGAAAAGGAAAGCUAGCUACGAGACACCAAAAGAAGCCUAUUAUUGGAAAUCCUUUGUUUUUUUUUUUUUUAUUUCCUUUUAACAUUUGUUUAAUAAAGAAACAUAUACAACUAACAUUUUUGCAGAGAGUUAAAGAAACUCACAUUGAAUUUGUAAUGGCGAACUGUGGACUCUGCCAAACCAGAAAGAAGGCAGCAAAAUGCCAACAAAACAAAAGCUCGAACACCCGAAGACCCCAUUGGUAUCUUUUCUUUCCUUUUUUGGGGUUUCUGAGUUAUUUUGAUGUGUGAGAAAUGAAGAUGAUGGGUGAGAAUUGAUGGCCAUGCAACUCAUCCUUAUAAAGAGAAACACCAAAUGGGUUAAAUGGCUGAUUAAGCUCUCUGUGUUGUUGCCAUGUCGUCUUUUCUUAGUUAGGUGAUGAGUUAAACAAGGCUUCGUACUAAAGGAUUUUCAGAUGAAACCAGAAUCAGAUCCGCCAUUUUCUUUUAUAUAUCUUACAUUUUACAUAAAGUUUAUGUUUUUCAUUUCUUUUAAUUUUAUUUUUCCCUCAACCCUUC
RNAcentral lists this long non-coding RNA (2641 nucleotides) under Cucumis sativus (cucumber). Its description in RNAcentral is "long non-coding RNA (CSAT_LNC001212)". Lineage: Eukaryota; Viridiplantae; Streptophyta; Magnoliopsida; Cucurbitales; Cucurbitaceae. The record is from RNAcentral.